UGGUUUUGAGCCACUGAUCUCUAUUAAUGGAUUGCACCAAUUGCACAUCCUCAUAUUCUUCUUGGCUGUCUUUCACGUAGCAUACAGUGCUAUCACAAUGCUUCUUGGGAGGCUAAAGAUUCGAGGAUGGAAGGCAUGGGAGGCUGAGACUUCAUCGCAUAGCUAUGAGUUCUCAAAUGUAAUGGAGAAAGGGUUUCAAAUACAAAUGCAGUAGAAUCUACUGGAAAAGAAAAGAAAAGGAGAGAUUUGAUCUACAAAAAGCACUUUUGGCUGCUCUUUUCAAUGCUCCUGAGAGACCCAAGGAGCCGGAGCUAGAAAGACCCGAGGAGCCGGAGCUACCAAAAAAAAGAACAGUAAGAUCAAGCAAGGGUCAUUGGGAGAUCAAGCAUGGACUACCAAGCUAUACUUUCCUUCAUCAUGCAAAACUUAGGAAACUUAAAAGCUUCUUAGUCUAUGAUAUGUAUGAAUGCUUUAACAAUGUUCCUUAAAUUCAAUAUUUGAUGAAUUGAUGUAUCACAAUGCUUUUGGUACAAAUAUUGAUCAUUUGAUGGUUUGC
Molecule: long non-coding RNA, 556 nt
Organism: Rosa rugosa (rugosa rose)
Lineage: Eukaryota; Viridiplantae; Streptophyta; Magnoliopsida; Rosales; Rosaceae
Exons: 3
Source: RefSeq, a predicted model, not a curated record